GGGAAUGUGGCUUAGUGGUAGAGUGCUUGCCUAGCAUGCAUGAAGCUCUGAGUUCCAUUCCUC
RNAcentral lists this transfer RNA (63 nucleotides) under Dipodomys ordii (Ord's kangaroo rat). It matches the Rfam family "tRNA". From Rfam's summary of the family: Transfer RNA (tRNA) molecules are approximately 80 nucleotides in length. The record is from Rfam by way of RNAcentral. Lineage: Eukaryota; Metazoa; Chordata; Mammalia; Rodentia; Heteromyidae.